CAGCGCCACGAGUGGCAUACACAUUUAUUGGGCCUAAAGCGUCCGUAGCCGGUCAGGUAAAUCCUUUGUGAAAUCAUAGAGCUUAACUCUAUGGCGUGCAGAGGACACUGCUUGACUUGGAACCGGGAGGAGUCAGAGGUAUUCUGGGGGGAGCGGUAAAAUGCUAUAAUCCCCAGAGGACCACCUGUGGCGAAGGCACUGUACUAGAACGGAUUCGACGGUGAGGGACGAAAGCCAGGGGAGCGAUCCGGAUUAGAUACCCGAGUAGUCC
Molecule: ribosomal RNA, 271 nt
Filed under: uncultured archaeon
Lineage: Archaea
Description: partial 16S ribosomal RNA
Rfam family: Archaeal small subunit ribosomal RNA
Source: RNAcentral